RNAcentral lists this ribosomal RNA (589 nucleotides) under Tomoplagia grandis. RNAcentral describes it as "partial 16S ribosomal RNA". The stretch from base 338 to 497 matches the Rfam family "Bacterial large subunit ribosomal RNA", at positions 2473 to 2632 of the family's 2925-position model. Lineage: Eukaryota; Metazoa; Arthropoda; Insecta; Diptera; Tephritidae. The record is from RNAcentral.
UGGCCGCAGUAUUUUGACUGUGCAAAGGUAGCAUAAUCAUUAGUCUUUUAAUUGAAGGCUUGUAUGAAUGGUUGGACGAAGUAUUAACUGUUUCAUAUAAAUUUAUAAUAAAAUUUUAUAUUUUAGUAAAAAAGCUAAAAUUUAAUUAAAAGACGAGAAGACCCUAUAAAUCUUUAUAUUUAAAUUUAAUUUAAUUUUUUAAAUUAAAUUGAUUAAAUUGAAUUUAAAUAUUUUAUUGGGGUGAUAUUAAAAUUUAUAAAACUUUUAAUUUUAAUUUUUCAUUAAUUUAUGUUUUAUUGAUCCAUUAAUAAUGAUUAUAAGAAUAAGUUACUUUAGGGAUAACAGCGUAAUUUUUUUGGAGAGUUCUUAUUAAUAAAAAAGUUUGCGACCUCGAUGUUGGAUUAAGAGAUAAUUUUAGGUGUAGAAGCUUAAAAAUUAAGUCUGUUCGACUUUUAAAUUCUUACAUGAUCUGAGUUCAGACCGGCGUAAGCCAGGUUGGUUUCUAUCUUUAAUAAUUUAUAAUAUUUUAGUACGAAAGGACCAAAUAUUAGAUUUAUUAUAAUUUAUUUAUAUUGAAAAUAAUUAAAUU